UUGUAACUCAAAAGCCUAAUUUGAAGUUUAAGUUAUAAGUUUAUGAGAAAAAAGAACAUGUGAUUUUCAUAGUUCGCCAUGAGAAUUCUAGUUUCAAUUUAAGUACAAUUAUAGUAGCUUUGCCAUUUCCAAUCCUUGUCUCAAUCUUGGCUGUUUUCAUUCAUUUGUCAAAAACAAAAUAACACACAAAACCACCAAUGAAGACAAGUCAGACCUGAACAUUUGGAAACGACCAAACUACAGAUUUGUCAUAAUAUGCUACAAUUAAAAAGACUCACCUUAAAAAGGCAGCAUCCAAAUCCCAGUCGGAGAGAAGAGACAAAAUUGGAGAACAGGCUUCAGAAGUAAAACAUAAAAAUGAAAAAGAAAAAUAUUUAAGCGAAUACCCUUUAAUGUCAAAAGCCUUGACGAGCAAGCUGAGGAGUACCUCGUAAGAAGUGAUCUGCGGGUCAAUGCUGAACUUCUUGUACUCUGGGGUGAGGACACCCUCACAUUUCUACAACAUGAAAUAACGGAAUGAACGGUUCUGGUUUUAGCGGAGGGACGCUAAAAAGAUUUUACCAUAACUUUCACCCUUAUCGCCUCACGUUUAUAGCCGAAAAUCUGCGCCAUGGUCUCAAUUCCUCCCGUCUUGAGUUCUCUACAUCCGGAGAAGUUUUUGGACUGAGUUCUGGCGAUCUGAUGUCGAAACGUUUCCAGACAUGAGAAGCCGUCCCUCGUCAAUUCGCAUAAUUUUUUUUUAUUUUUUGCUUUCUCUCAAGGGAAAACUCGGAUAUUUCCAAUCGUAGAGCCCAUUUCAUCGUGAACGCAACCGAUUGCGUUCAGGUAUUUUCACGAAUUUGAAGGCCCGUUUUGUUUCGUCCGACUCGAAAAAACGGGGGAUAAAAUUCCGAUGACAAAGAAGGGCAUGGAAACGUCAAAA
Long non-coding RNA from Cimex lectularius (bed bug), 922 nucleotides. RefSeq lists it as uncharacterized. Lineage: Eukaryota; Metazoa; Arthropoda; Insecta; Hemiptera; Cimicidae. The record is from RefSeq and is a predicted model, not a curated record. The transcript is spliced from 2 exons.